Molecule: ribosomal RNA, 253 nt
Filed under: uncultured bacterium
Lineage: Bacteria
Description: partial 16S ribosomal RNA
Rfam family: Bacterial small subunit ribosomal RNA
Source: RNAcentral
UACGGAGGGUGCGAGCGUUAAUCGGAAUUACUGGGCGUAAAGCGCGCGUAGGCGGUUUGAUAAGUCGGAUGUGAAAGCCCCGGGCUUAACCUGGGAAUUGCAUUCGAUACUGUCAGGCUCGAGUCUAGGAGAGGGAAGCGGAAUUCCGGGUGUAGCGGUGAAAUGCGUAGAUAUCCGGAGGAACAUCAGUGGCGAAGGCGGCUUCCUGGCCUAAGACUGACGCUGAGGUGCGAAAGCGUGGGGAGCAAACAGG